This 398-nucleotide ribosomal RNA is filed under the name uncultured bacterium. RNAcentral's name for it is "partial 16S ribosomal RNA". It matches the Rfam family "Bacterial small subunit ribosomal RNA", at positions 523 to 918 of the family's 1533-position model. The record is from RNAcentral.
AUACGUAGGGUGCGAGCGUUGUCCGGAAUUACUGGGCGUAAAGAGCUCGUAGGUGGUUUGUCGCGUCGUCUGUGAAAUUCCGGGGCUUAACUCCGGGCGUGCAGGCGAUACGGGCAUAACUUGAGUACUGUAGGGGAGACUGGAAUUCCUGGUGUAGCGGUGAAAUGCGCAGAUAUCAGGAGGAACACCGGUGGCGAAGGCGGGUCUCUGGGCAGUAACUGACGCUGAGGAGCGAAAGCAUGGGUAGCGAACAGGAUUAGAUACCCUGGUAGUCCAUGCCGUAAACGGUGGGCGCUAGGUGUAGGGGUCUUCCACGACUUCUGUGCCGUAGCUAACGCGUUAAGCGCCCCGCCUGGGGAGUACGGCCGCAAGGCUAAAACUCAAAUGAAUUGACGGGG